RNAcentral lists this ribosomal RNA (279 nucleotides) under uncultured bacterium. Its description in RNAcentral is "partial 16S ribosomal RNA". It matches the Rfam family "Bacterial small subunit ribosomal RNA", at positions 506 to 784 of the family's 1533-position model. The record is from RNAcentral.
UGCCAGCCGCCGCGGUAAUACGUAGGUGACGAGCGUUGUCCGGAAUUAUUGGGCGUAAAGGGAGCGCAGGCGGUUGGAAUAGUCUGAUGUGAAAGCCCACGGCUUAACCGUGGAAGGUCAUUGGAAACUGUCCAACUUGAAUGCAGAAGAGGAAAGUGGAAUUCCAUGUGUAGCGGUGAAAUGCGUAGAUAUAUGGAGGAACACCAGUGGCGAAGGCGACUUUCUGGUCUGUAAUUGACGCUGAGGCUCGAAAGCGUGGGUAGCGAACAGGAUUAGAUA